GGGNGGGGNNCUAAACUGCAAGUCGAACGAGCUUCCGUUGAAUGACGUGCUUGCACUGAUUUCAACAAUGAAGCGAGUGGCGAACUGGUGAGUAACACGUGGGGAAUCUGCCCAGAAGCAGGGGAUAACACUUGGAAACAGGUGCUAAUACCGUAUAACAACAAAAUCCGCAUGGAUUUUGUUUGAAAGGUGGCUUCGGCUAUCACUUCUGGAUGAUCCCGCGGCGUAUUAGUUAGUUGGUGAGGUAAAGGCCCACCAAGACGAUGAUACGUAGCCGACCUGAGAGGGUAAUCGGCCACAUUGGGACUGAGACACGGCCCAAACUCCUACGGGAGGCAGCAGUAGGGAAUCUUCCACAAUGGACGAAAGUCUGAUGGAGCAAUGCCGCGUGAGUGAAGAAGGGUUUCGGCUCGUAAAACUCUGUUGUUAAAGAAGAACACCUUUGAGAGUAACUGUUCAAGGGUUGACGGUAUUUAACCAGAAAGCCACGGCUAACUACGUGCCAGCAGCCGCGGUAAUACGUAGGUGGCAAGCGUUGUCCGGAUUUAUUGGGCGUAAAGCGAGCGCAGGCGGUUUUUUAAGUCUGAUGUGAAAGCCUUCGGCUUAACCGGAGAAGUGCAUCGGAAACUGGGAGACUUGAGUGCAAAAGAGGACAGUGGAACUCCAUGUGUAGCGGUGGAAUGCGUAGAUAUAUGGAAGAACACCAGUGGCGAAGGCGGCUGUCUAGUCUGUAACUGACGCUGAGGCUCGAAAGCAUGGGUAGC
Molecule: ribosomal RNA, 764 nt
Filed under: Levilactobacillus brevis
Lineage: Bacteria; Bacillati; Bacillota; Bacilli; Lactobacillales; Lactobacillaceae
Description: bacterial SSU rRNA
Rfam family: Bacterial small subunit ribosomal RNA
Source: RNAcentral